Molecule: long non-coding RNA, 1570 nt
Filed under: Erythranthe guttata (spotted monkey flower)
Lineage: Eukaryota; Viridiplantae; Streptophyta; Magnoliopsida; Lamiales; Phrymaceae
Description: long non-coding RNA (EGUT_LNC000506)
Source: RNAcentral
CAUGAGUAAAUAGUAUAAAUAAAUGAACUGGUAAGUGGUAACACAAUUGGUUUUUGUUUCACUCUCUCCAAAAUCAGGCCAAAAGUGAGAAAUAUUGCCGAUUCUAAAAGUCAAAUAAAUUGAACGACGAGCUCGAAAAACAAUAAUUCAAGCAAACACAAGUUCUAACGGAAUCCAAAUAACAACCUAGCUAAGCUAAUAAGUCCAUCAUCAACAAACACGAAAAAGAAAGAAAAAGAACUAAUUAAGGUUUUAAUUUAAAUCGGGGUGGUGGUGGUUUGGAGUGAACCACAUAGGCGAAGGUUCAAUCCUUUGUAUGCUCUCGUAAUCACAUGGAUAAUAGCACGGCGAAAAGGUAGAGUUUAUUGCAUUUACUACCCCUGUGAAAUUCGCAACUGCACGAUUCCCCCCUGUCAUAAAAAAUUUAGCAAAUGCCCCCCUAUGCUUAUUUCUAGAAUGCACAUUCGACCCAUUUACUUUAUUUCCAUUGACCAGCCGUGAAAGGACCAAAAUACCCUGAGUAAGUUUGUUAUAUUACACGUUCCGAAUUUUUUCAUUAUAUUUAAUUAAAUCUUAAUUUUUAUUUCUAUUUUAAACAAAUACAAUACACAAAAUAUUAUUAAAUAUAAAUAUAUAAAAAAGAAAAGAAAAAAGGAAGUUUUUAAUUUUCAUUUCAGUCCUUUGCACUUUCAAAAAAGCCCUCUCCUACACCACACAUAAAAUCACCAUUGCCGGACAACUCAAAAAACUCCGAACUAGCCGCCCAACUCAGCCACCACCUCCACUUCGCCGCCCAACUCAGCCACCACCUCCGCUUCGCCGCCCACCUCGUCACUUCCCCGCGCCGUCCAACUCAGCCACCACCUCCGCUUCACCGCCCGCCUCAUCACUUCCCCGCGCCGCCCAACUCAGCCACCACCUCCGCUUCGCCGCCCGCCUCGUCACUUCCCCUGCGCUGCCCAACUCAGCCACCACCUCCGCUUCAUCUGUCCGCCGUCCGACCGGGACAAUUUCUCAGAGUACCGAUACAAACGGAGCACGGCCUUCUGCAAAUCCGCCGCCCACAACCACCCCAAUUCAACCGCCCACAACCACAAACAUUACUCAACCCCUCUCUCUCCUCGACCUUCCUAAAUCCUUGCCGUUCAGGUCCAGAAAUUUCCAGAUAUUUUGGAGAGGAAGAAGAUUAGACGAGGAAAUAAAUUAGGGGGAUAGGUUUAGGAUUUUAAUUAAGUUCUGGAAAAUUGUAAUUUAACCCCUGCAUUUAUUUUAAAAAUUCAAUUUAGUUCCUUACCUUUAAAAAUUAUAUUUUUAAGGUUUGUAUUUUUUUAUUGCAAAUAACCACGGGGUAGUUUUGUCCUUUCAUAAGCAAAAGGGAAGAAAAAAUCGCAAACGCGGCGAGUGAGCCGCACGAUCAGCUCCAAGGGGGGUUUUCGCCUUUGACUAAUAAGUAUAGGGGGGUAUUUGCUAAUUUUUUUAUGACAGGGGGGAAUCAUGCAGUUACGAAUUUCACAGGGGUAGUAAAUGCAAUAAACUCCGAAAAGGUACCAUCUUUAUAGUUGAAAAUGCC